This 253-nucleotide ribosomal RNA is filed under the name uncultured bacterium. Its description in RNAcentral is "partial 16S ribosomal RNA". It matches the Rfam family "Bacterial small subunit ribosomal RNA", at positions 524 to 776 of the family's 1533-position model. The record is from RNAcentral.
GACAGAGGAGGCAAGCGUUAUCCGGAAUUAUUGGGAGUAAAGCGUUCGUAGGUGGUUUGACAAGUCUGGGGUUAAAGCCCGGAGCCCAACUCCGGAUCGGCCCUGGAAACUGUCAGAAUUGAGUAAGGUAGGGGUUGCGGGAAUUCCCGGUGUAGCGGUGAAAUGCGUAGAUAUCGGGAAGAACACCAGCGGCGAAAGCGCGCAACUGGGCCAUUACUGACACUGAGGGACGAAAGCUAGGGGAGCGAAUGGG